This 1556-nucleotide ribosomal RNA is filed under the name Escherichia coli. RNAcentral's name for it is "bacterial SSU rRNA". It matches the Rfam family "Bacterial small subunit ribosomal RNA". Lineage: Bacteria; Pseudomonadati; Pseudomonadota; Gammaproteobacteria; Enterobacterales; Enterobacteriaceae. The record is from RNAcentral.
UUAAAUUGAAGAGUUUGAUCAUGGCUCAGAUUGAACGCUGGCGGCAGGCCUAACACAUGCAAGUCGAACGGUAACAGGAAACAGCUUGCUGUUUCGCUGACGAGUGGCGGACGGGUGAGUAAUGUCUGGGAAACUGCCUGAUGGAGGGGGAUAACUACUGGAAACGGUAGCUAAUACCGCAUAACGUCGCAAGACCAAAGAGGGGGACCUUCGGGCCUCUUGCCAUCGGAUGUGCCCAGAUGGGAUUAGCUAGUAGGUGGGGUAACGGCUCACCUAGGCGACGAUCCCUAGCUGGUCUGAGAGGAUGACCAGCCACACUGGAACUGAGACACGGUCCAGACUCCUACGGGAGGCAGCAGUGGGGAAUAUUGCACAAUGGGCGCAAGCCUGAUGCAGCCAUGCCGCGUGUAUGAAGAAGGCCUUCGGGUUGUAAAGUACUUUCAGCGGGGAGGAAGGGAGUAAAGUUAAUACCUUUGCUCAUUGACGUUACCCGCAGAAGAAGCACCGGCUAACUCCGUGCCAGCAGCCGCGGUAAUACGGAGGGUGCAAGCGUUAAUCGGAAUUACUGGGCGUAAAGCGCACGCAGGCGGUUUGUUAAGUCAGAUGUGAAAUCCCCGGGCUCAACCUGGGAACUGCAUCUGAUACUGGCAAGCUUGAGUCUCGUAGAGGGGGGUAGAAUUCCAGGUGUAGCGGUGAAAUGCGUAGAGAUCUGGAGGAAUACCGGUGGCGAAGGCGGCCCCCUGGACGAAGACUGACGCUCAGGUGCGAAAGCGUGGGGAGCAAACAGGAUUAGAUACCCUGGUAGUCCACGCCGUAAACGAUGUCGACUUGGAGGUUGUGCCCUUGAGGCGUGGCUUCCGGAGCUAACGCGUUAAGUCGACCGCCUGGGGAGUACGGCCGCAAGGUUAAAACUCAAAUGAAUUGACGGGGGCCCGCACAAGCGGUGGAGCAUGUGGUUUAAUUCGAUGCAACGCGAAGAACCUUACCUGGUCUUGACAUCCACAGAACUUUCCAGAGAUGGAUUGGUGCCUUCGGGAACUGUGAGACAGGUGCUGCAUGGCUGUCGUCAGCUCGUGUUGUGAAAUGUUGGGUUAAGUCCCGCAACGAGCGCAACCCUUAUCCUUUGUUGCCAGCGGUCCGGCCGGGAACUCAAAGGAGACUGCCAGUGAUAAACUGGAGGAAGGUGGGGAUGACGUCAAGUCAUCAUGGCCCUUACGACCAGGGCUACACACGUGCUACAAUGGCGCAUACAAAGAGAAGCGACCUCGCGAGAGUAAGCGGACCUCAUAAAGUGCGUCGUAGUCCGGAUUGGAGUCUGCAACUCGACUCCAUGAAGUCGGAAUCGCUAGUAAUCGUGGAUCAGAAUGCCACGGUGAAUACGUUCCCGGGCCUUGUACACACCGCCCGUCACACCAUGGGAGUGGGUUGCAAAAGAAGUAGGUAGCUUAACCUUCGGGAGGGCGCUUACCACUUUGUGAUUCAUGACUGGGGUGAAGUCGUAACAAGGUAACCGUAGGGGAACCUGCGGUUGGAUCACCUCCUUACCUUAAAGAAGC